RNAcentral lists this ribosomal RNA (209 nucleotides) under uncultured bacterium. RNAcentral's name for it is "partial 16S ribosomal RNA". It matches the Rfam family "Bacterial small subunit ribosomal RNA", at positions 1284 to 1500 of the family's 1533-position model. The record is from RNAcentral.
CCCCCACGUUCGGAUUGCAGGCUGAAAUUCGCCUGCAUGAAGCCGGAAUUGCUAGUAAUGGCAGGUCAGCAUACUGCCGUGAAUACGUUCCCGGGCCUUGUACACACCGCCCGUCAAGCCAUGGAAGCCGGGGGGUGCCUGAAGUGCGCUGCCGCGAGGAGCGCCCUAGGGUAAAACCGGUGACUGGGGCUAAGUCGUAACAAGGUACC